Molecule: long non-coding RNA, 3233 nt
Filed under: Homo sapiens (human)
Lineage: Eukaryota; Metazoa; Chordata; Mammalia; Primates; Hominidae
Description: HSALNT0378396
Source: RNAcentral
AACUUAACCCUGUGUGCGCCUGACACUCCCUAGAGAAGCUGGGAUCGACUAGGAAACCGCAGGCAGCGGCUCCCGGGGGCGAGAGCUUUGUUCACGUGCGUUUCCAGUGGGUGUGUUGCUGUCUAGGGGCACUCGCGUGGCAAGACGCCCGUGGCUGGCUUCCAGCGCCCAAGAUUCAAGGAAGGGAAGGAGCCCUAGCGUUUCAUCCGGACCAGACCCAGCCCUCGGAGUCUAUUUUUUGCCUCCAGUUACCGGAUUUAUUGAAGUUGCCAGCGAAGUUGGUUUUAUUCCUUUACUUCUCUGCUCUCCGCCCCCGUCCACAUCCCCCAACCCUGUAUUAUUUCCUGUCCUAGCUGCGCUUUAAAGAUUCGGAACUUUUCACUCGUUCUAGCUACAGAUUUUAACUGUGUUCCGUGUGCGAGACGAAUUGUGGAGGGCACCCACCCACCCAUGCCAAGUGUAAAUGAAACCGCAAGAAAAGCUGCCUCCCACUCACCCAUCCAGUGUCCGAGUAAGCCUAAUGACACACAUUCACAUAACUAAGAAGACACGGGAAGAUAGGGGUGCGGAGGACGGAGUUUGAUGUGUGAAUGGGAAAUGGAGAGAGGGGACAGCGCGCGCGAGAGAAACAGCGCGAGCCUGAGCCUUAGAAUGGAAUAAACGGGAAACACACACAAGAAUGACGAUGCAAAAAAUGUAUCUAAGUCCCAACAUUGACAGCAGAGGGUCAGCUUUAAGCGCCUACAUUUUGAUCCGCGAAAUUUCCCAGCUUUUUUGGAGGCGGUUACAUAGAGAACACAGGAGCCUCUGCCUUGGCCGCCCAGAUGCUUUGCAUUUUGUAAACAGCUUUGACUAAGUGCUCUGGACUUCCAAGAAGUUAACUGGAGUGGAAGGCGAGUCAUAUUGUGGAUGCGGAAUGGAAGCUUAGACAAGAAAAAACUGUCAGCAGAGCGCCUCUGCUCUCACCGUCACACCCAAAUGAGCCAGGACGUCGCUCAGAGCGCAAACUGAGAUCCACACAGGGACAUCUUCAACCGAAUCUUUCUUCUGUCUCCAUUCCGGACUAAGGAAAGAAAGAAAGAAAUACGGAGCCUUUAUAGAGUAUUCAGAGGCUACACACAUGGAUCUUGCUGAAACGGAGUUAUUUAAAAACAGAGAAAGUGUGUUUUCCCAUGAGAUAGAUGUUAUAGUUUCUCUCUGAAACAUACCCAAGUCUAUGGGUGUCAAUAAUAGCCAUUUCAAAUGCCUCUCUGAGCCUUGCCAGCCCCAGAAGAGGCUGUGGGAAUGCUGCUUCCAGCUUCCCCUGUGCAGAACUCCGUUGUAAAUCCUUCUGAGUUUCCAAGGUGGCAGCAGAGCAUAGGGAUAGCUCCUCAAGCUCCAGCAUCAACAAGGAAGAUCACAUUUUAGGACAAAUACUCAUCUACCUGCAUUUAAACAUCCAUUUUCGUAUUGUCCAGUAUGGAACUUUCACCUGAUUGAAGCUCAAAACAUGGUUGCUGAAUUCACAAAUAAGCUCCCCUGUCAGGUAGAGAGCAUCUUUUUCUCCAAGGUGUGGACCAGUGUAAGGAAACCCAUGCCUACCACACUAUGGAGAAGUGGGUUUUCUUUUCUCUCAUGAAUAUAAAGUACUCAAUCUAUGACAUCCUUUAGUGAGUGUGACUUGAUUCAUGUGAACCUGUGACAUUGAAAUGCAUACCUUCUGAUUUUGAAACACUACUCUACAGUAAAUGGCUCAUCCAUUUAUCCAACACACAUCUGUAGAAAACACAAAACAUGUAGCAGGCCCUUGAUGAAUAGAUUCAGUCCCUAUCUGUCAAACCUCAAAGUCUAGAGGAGACCCAUAGAAAAAUAAUUAUCCUCUCUUUAGGGAAAUAUAACAAUUUAGAUAUAUACAAAGUACUUUUGUGCCCUGAAACAGGUUCUCUCUAGAGAAAAGACCUCAUUCAAAUGAUGAUGAGGCUCUUUUCACAAUGUACUGAUUUUACCAGGGACUUCGUAGCAUUAUUUUAUAUCCAGCCUUCUGCAUACAGCAGCCCCAGCUACUGGAGUCCCCAGUCUCGAGGAAAGUCCUUUGGGCCAAGAAUUGGAAAAUCAGCAUGGAAGUAAUUGCUUGAAUAUCCAUUUCCUCAAGCCGUGGUUUCUUUGCCUUUCUGUGCAGGUUACAAGAUGAUUAUGCGUGAACAAAAACAGAAGGUACAUACUGGCAGGAAACAAAAGCACGUUAAACCAUGGAGAUUUCCUCUUACAUAAACCUGCCAUUUGUUAAGCAGUUGCUGUCUGUUCCACAGGGAAGCUGGCAAAAACUUGAUACAAACAUUCUCCAACUGCACUGGGAGGAAUAAGUGAAGGUAACACCUUUUUAAGAAGGGCAUACAAAGAGAUAAAAGAUCUACCUAGGGACUUACUCAAACCUAGAUGCUACCAUUGUACAAAAUGUUACCAAGUCUACCUAUAUCUAACUAUAGUUCUGAUAAAGAGGGAAGUGAUGUUUUAAUUUGGGAAAACACACUUAAUCAAACAUGUAAAUGAGAUUCUGAAUUAAAAUUCAUAUGUAUUUUCUCUCACUAUCUAUCAACGUGCUAGAAAAAUAAAAUUGCCUUCUUUGGAAGGACAGGGGCAAUUUUCAAGAGUGCUUAUUCAAAGAAAAAAAUGAAUAUUUGCACUCAAACUUUAUGCAGUUAGAAGAAGGUCUGAGCUUGGUCUUGGAAGAUCUUACUUCAUGUCUCCAUCUUACCAGGGAAAUCACGUAACUGCUCUGAGCCUCAGCAUCCCUUCUAUCAAAUAAAAAAAGUAUAAUAAAGAUCAUCUUUCAGGGUAGGUAUGAAAAGAUCAAGUAAAGUGAGGUGUUUCAAAACUCAAAAUAAAAAUAAGCUGUCAUUAUUUAUAUAAUUAAUGUGUUUAUAUAAUAUAUAAAUAUAUAUAAUGUAUAUAUGUAUAUAAUUUAUAUAAUUAAAUAAUAUAAAUUAUAUAAACAUAAUUUAUAUAAUUAAUGUGAACACAAUUUAGUGUGAGAUAUAUUUUAGUCCAUCUAACCUUCAGCCACUUCAUGGAGUUUUAAUUGCAUUGGUACUUCCUGCUUUGCUGGUACCCUUGUUCCAUAUAACCUCUGAGAGCUUCAAAGGUGUAGAGCUGCUUAAUUCCUGCACAGUUAACUCUGCAGUGCUUUCAGGUGUCACCAUUUGCUACCCUAGAAAUAAACUUGACCUACCCUAGAAAUAAACUUCCUCAAACCA